This 747-nucleotide long non-coding RNA is filed under the name Oryzias sinensis (Chinese medaka). RNAcentral describes it as "lncRNA (ENSOSIG00000008471.1)". Lineage: Eukaryota; Metazoa; Chordata; Actinopteri; Beloniformes; Adrianichthyidae. The record is from RNAcentral.
UUGUUUCAGGGCUGCCUGUCUCAGCUGGAUGAGGAGUUGGUGUUAAACCCGCUGGCGCUCUGCAGUAACCUGUACCAGCACCUGAGGAGCAGAGGUCUGCUGUCACAGCCGCGAUACCCGUACAGAGUCCAGUCAGCGGCUCCCCACAGAGAGCAGCUUCACACACCUGAGGGGCCAAAGAACCGAGCGGCGCAGCAGCUGCAGAAUCUAGGGCGCCAACACGGAUCGCACAGCAAGGUCAAGGCCACGGUGGCCCCGCUGCCCCCCUCCACCUCUUCCUUUUCCUCCUUCCUGGGACCUCCUCCAUCGAAGCGUCCCGCUCUGAGCUUCCUCAGCAGCCGCCGCCGCCGCCGCCCGACUCAGCCAGACGACGAGGACGGUGACGACGACAGCGCGGCGAGGAUGCAGUAAGAGCUCAGAGAGAGCAGAGCCCGAUUCCCACACACAGUCACCCAAACUGUCUCCAAGUUCUCGUUCAUGUUGUUUUUAAAGAGUUCGUGUGGAACGUCACACAUUUGCUCUGUGAACGUCCACAAAAGCCGGCGUCCACAUUCUUCUCCAUUCUGCUCUUAAACCCCAGUGUGAGCACAGCUUUAGUGUUUAAAUGGGAAUAAAGCUGCAGACAGGGGGGCCCCUCUGCGCCCCCCCUCCAGACAAAGCACCCAACAAAAACUGGUCCCAUCUGCAAAAAGGGAAAAUGUCAUAAGAAAGGACUUUGACGCUGUUCUGACAGCAAAGCCCAACAAU